This 490-nucleotide ribosomal RNA is filed under the name uncultured bacterium. Its description in RNAcentral is "partial 16S ribosomal RNA". It matches the Rfam family "Bacterial small subunit ribosomal RNA", at positions 28 to 507 of the family's 1533-position model. The record is from RNAcentral.
GAUGAACGCUAGCUACAGGCUUAACACAUGCAAGUCGCGGGGCAGUAUGGGGGUUGCUUGCAAUCCCCGAUGGCGACCGGCGCACGGGUGAGUAACGCGUAUCCAACCUGCCCUUCACCACGGGAUAACCCGGCGAAAGUCGGACUAAUACCGUAUGUUGUCCAUUGACGGCAUCCGAUUUGGACGAAAGGUUUGGCGGUGAAGGAUGGGGAUGCGUCCGAUUAGCUGGACGGCGGGGUGACGGCCCACCGUGGCGACGAUCGGUAGGGGUUCUGAGAGGAAGGUCCCCCACACUGGAACUGAGACACGGUCCAGACUCCUACGGGAGGCAGCAGUGAGGAAUAGUGGUCAAUGGGCGUAAGCCUGAACCAGCCAAGUAGCGUGCAGGAUGACGGCCCUAUGGGUUGUAAACUGCUUUUAUGCGGGGAUAAAGUGGCCCACGUGUGGGUUUUUGCAGGUACCGCAUGAAUAAGGACCGGCUAAUUCCGUG